Small nuclear RNA from Syzygium oleosum, 115 nucleotides. RefSeq annotates it as U5 spliceosomal RNA. The record is from RefSeq and is a predicted model, not a curated record. NCBI's taxonomy places the organism in Eukaryota, Viridiplantae, Streptophyta, Magnoliopsida, Myrtales, Myrtaceae. The transcript has a single exon.
AGCUGCGCUGUGUGCACAGAGCGAACUAUUCUUUCGGCUUUUACUAAAGAAUACCGUGUGCACGCCGCAUUUAAUUGCAUAUGCCACUUUUUGGAAGGCUCAGCCUUUACAGGCU